CAGUGAGGUAUCAACCGAUUCCUCUGCAACAUUAGACUUGAAGCAUUUGCCUUAUUCUCAUCAUUUCCAACUCUCAGAUAUUUGCAUGUUGUACUUGACUGAUUGCUCAUCAGUGUUCCAUAAGGGACCCAAUAGUACGUGCUCAGCAGGCCUUGGUCAAAUACUGGUAUCCAAAGGCCAGACAUGAAAGAAGAGGCAGAGGAACCUACAGCAGGCAAGGCAAGCUUCACCCUAGAAUACGCAGUGGGAAAGUGAGAAGCAAGAUUUCUCUAAGUACUCCGUCCUCAUGGAUCCUCUAUGAUUGAAAGAAGACUUCAGUGAACUGAAGAGGCAUGACUCUUCAGUGACAGAAUCUGUAGGUUUACAGUAUUUCACAUGAUGUGGAUCCAGAGAAAACAAUCCAUUUCUUUGGAGCACCUCUGAAUUUCUCAUCUGCAUUGGAAAUCAUUGGCAAGCUAAAUCUCUGAUACCUGAAGCCCCAGCCUGGCACUAGCUGGAAAAGAGGUAAGUGUUUGGUCUCAUCCCGUAUCUAAUGUCCAGUAGACAUCUAAAUAUCAAACA
Molecule: long non-coding RNA, 561 nt
Filed under: Chrysolophus pictus (golden pheasant)
Lineage: Eukaryota; Metazoa; Chordata; Aves; Galliformes; Phasianidae
Description: lncRNA (ENSCPIG00010009014.1)
Source: RNAcentral